RNAcentral lists this unclassified non-coding RNA (710 nucleotides) under Hevea brasiliensis (rubber tree). The record is from RNAcentral. Lineage: Eukaryota; Viridiplantae; Streptophyta; Magnoliopsida; Malpighiales; Euphorbiaceae.
AUUAUCAGUUGCAUGAUUUUGAUAUGUGUAUCGCAAAAAAUGAAGAAGCCCUAAGUAUCGAGCCACAUUUUGCUGAGUGCUAUGGAAAUAUGGCGAAUGCUUGGAAGGAAAAAGGCAAUAUUGAUGUUGCAAUACGCUAUUAUUUAAUUGCAAUUGAGCUCCGUCCUAAUUUUGCGGAUGCAUGGUCAAAUUUAGCCAGUGCAUACAUGAGGAAAGGAAGGCUGAAUGAGGCAGUUCAAUGUUGCCGUCAGGCUCUAGCAUUAAAUCCACGUUUGGUGGAUGCUCACAGCAAUCUCGGCAAUCUCAUGAAAGCACAAGGUUUAGUCCAAGAGGCGUACAAUUGUUAUGUUGAAGCACUGCGUAUACAGCCUGCAUUUGCCAUAGCAUGGUCCAACCUUGCUGGCCUUUUCAUGGAGGCAGGCGAUCUUAACAGGGCUUUGCAGUACUACAAGGAAGUGAUCAAGCUGAAACCGAACUUCUCAGAUGCAUAUCUGAACCUAGGAAAUGUAUACAAGGCUUUGGGAAUGCCCCAGGAGGCCAUAGUGUGUUAUCAGCGUGCGCUCCAAGUACGACCAGACUAUGCCAUGGCUUUUGGCAACUUAGCUAGUGUGUACUAUGAACAAGGAAAUAUGGAAAUGGCAAUAUUUAACUACAGGAGAGCUAUUACAUGUGAUACUGAAUUCUUUGAGGCAUAUAACAAUCUGGGUAAU